CCUACGGGUGGCAGCAGUGAGGAAUAUUGGUCAAUGGACGGAAGCCUGAACCAGCCAUGCCGCGUGCAGGAAGACGGCUCUAUGAGUUGUAAACUGCUUUUGUACAAGGGUAAACCUGAAUACGUGUAUUCAGCUGAGAGUACUGUACGAAGAAGGAUCGGCUAACUCCGUGCCAGCAGCCGCGGUAAUACGGAUGAUCCAAGCGUUAUCCGGAUUUAUUGGGUUUAAAGGGUGGGUAGGCGGAUUUAUAAGUUAGAGGUGAAAUGUCCGAGCUUAACUCGGGAACUGCCUCUAAAACUGUUGAUCUAGAGAGUAGGUGAGGUAGGCGGAAUGUAUGGUGUAGCGGUGAAAUGCUUAGAGAUCAUACAGAACACCGAUUGCGAAGGCAGCUUACCAAUCUAUAUCUGACGUUGAGGCACGAAAGCGUGGGGAGCAAACAGGAUUAGAUACCCCAGUAGUC
This 460-nucleotide ribosomal RNA is filed under the name uncultured bacterium. RNAcentral's name for it is "partial 16S ribosomal RNA". It matches the Rfam family "Bacterial small subunit ribosomal RNA", at positions 338 to 795 of the family's 1533-position model. The record is from RNAcentral.